RNAcentral lists this ribosomal RNA (389 nucleotides) under Arge nigripes. RNAcentral describes it as "partial 12S ribosomal RNA". The record is from RNAcentral. Lineage: Eukaryota; Metazoa; Arthropoda; Insecta; Hymenoptera; Argidae.
UAAUAAUGAAAUUUAUAUUAUAUAAUAUUUUUAGUUAUAUAAAUUAUAAUAGAGUAUUAAUAGUUAAGUUCUUUAAAUUCAAAAAAUUUGGCGGUAUUUUAUCUAAUUAGGGGAACUUGUUUAAUGAAUGAUAUUCCUCGAGUUACCUUACUUUUAUUAAAAAUUUAUGUAUUUCCGUUAUCAGAAAAUUUUUAAAGAAUAUUAUAAAUUUUCUUAAUUUUAAAAUAUUAAAAUUUAUUUCAGGUCAAAGUGUAGUUUAUAUAAAAGUUAAAAUGAGUUACAAUAAAAUUUAUUUAUUAUGGAUAUUAAUUUGAAAUUUAAUUAAUUGAAGGUGGACUUAAUAGUAAAAUUUAAUAGAAUAUUUUAUUGAAUAAAGAUCUAAAAUAUGU